UACGUAGGGACCAAGCGUUGUUCGGAUUUACUGGGCGUAAAGGGCGCGUAGGCGGCAAUUCAAGUCAUCUGUGAAAUCUCCGGGCUUAACUCGGAACGGUCAGAUGAUACUGCUUUGCUCGAGUGCGGAAGGGGCAAUCGGAAUUCUUGGUGUAGCGGUGAAAUGCGUAGAUAUCAAGAGGAACACCGGAGGUGAAGACGGGUUGCUGGGCCGACACUGACGCUGAAGCGCGAAAGCCAGGGGAGCAAACGGG
RNAcentral lists this ribosomal RNA (253 nucleotides) under uncultured bacterium. RNAcentral's name for it is "partial 16S ribosomal RNA". It matches the Rfam family "Bacterial small subunit ribosomal RNA", at positions 524 to 776 of the family's 1533-position model. The record is from RNAcentral.